GUUAUCUCUCUUUGUUUUCAUACACUGUUUGUCAUUGAGGGUAAUUUCCGCAUCUAUUUUUAGUAACAGAAAUUCUGUUCAGCUAAAGUAUUUAAGAUUUUUAUUUAAAAUAAUUUUUGUCAUUGUCAUUUUUCAAAUAAUGAUGGAAACUACACACAAGUUUUUAUUUAAAUGUAUUGUUUAAUAUUUUGAUAAUUUCAACAUCACUUCCUGUGAUCACGUGACUUCAUAGUUUAUGAUUUUGCACGAAAUGUUUCGCGCUAUGAAGGCUGUGUGUUGAACAAUAACAUUGUUGAAGCUGAAUAUUAUCUCUAGCUAGGUGUACCAACUGUUGUACAGUAUCACUGUGGUCGACGGUGACCUUGACCUGAGUUUAUGCAUUGAGGCCCUAGUUGGGCACACUGUCAUUUAUUACUGCCAAUAUCAUUACCAUUAUAAUUUGUAAUAUCAUUGAUAUUCAUAAUUAAUAAACUUAUAAAAAGAACAAAUCUGGUUAUCACAAAAUGGCGUCGUGGACAGGAUAUAUUAAUGGUUAACUCGGAUUAUAUGGCAGUGUGAUGUGCAUAAUUUAGGUCUCCAGUAUCAACAUGAGAGUUAAUGGUUCAGUGACGAUAUGAUGUGAAGAGCUGUUUCGGACAACUAGAGCAACUUAGGAUUCAUUUGGUAGGAGAGUUACAGUGUAUUAUUUAUUACCAUGUCGGAAGAAGAAUUAAAAGCCAAAUUGACAUUUCAAACUAUGAAGACUGAAAAAUUAGAACAUGAACUAAUAAAAGCAAACACCAUUAUUGAAAAAUUAAAUGCCGAUGUACAUAACAUGAGUUUCGCUAAAUCAGAAGAACAUAAAACUGUUUUCAUAGCAAGGGAGAAGAAAAUACCAAAACUGUGUGGACGACCUAUAAGUGUUAAUGACCCAGACAUAUGCGAGUGGAUUCAUGAUGUAAA
Molecule: long non-coding RNA, 942 nt
Organism: Saccostrea cuccullata (small rock oyster)
Lineage: Eukaryota; Metazoa; Mollusca; Bivalvia; Ostreida; Ostreidae
Exons: 3
Source: RefSeq, a predicted model, not a curated record